Molecule: long non-coding RNA, 4824 nt
Organism: Neogale vison (American mink)
Lineage: Eukaryota; Metazoa; Chordata; Mammalia; Carnivora; Mustelidae
Exons: 4
Source: RefSeq, a predicted model, not a curated record
ACGGUGGACAGGCCUUCUAGCGUCUUCCUUGCGGCGACUUUUGGUUCUAACGGGGCUGUGUCAAAUUGCGCUUCUGCUUCCAGCGCUGAGGAGAGGCCGCACUCAGAAGAGUCUUAGGACAGUGAGGAGGAUAGGACCUAAAUCCACGGUUUUGUAUGAGCCCGACAGCACCUGUAACGGGGCUGUCCCUCUCUCCUGUCCGGCGCCUCCACACUAGCCCUUCGUUCCUGAGACACCCGCUGGGGACCUUGUUGAGCCUUUACACAGCGGAGACCGAGGUCCCUGGUCACCCGGCCCAGGGCUGGGGUGAGGGGUCGGCUGAGCCCGCUGGGCGCGCUUUAGUCCCUGCUUCUCGCGGUCUCGCUCCGCCCAUGGGGGGUCAUGGCGGCGCCGGAGCUGGCCUCCUUAUUCCCUGAGACACAACGUUGAAACUAGGCCAGAUGAUAACCCUACAAUGGCCUAUAAUUGUUCAAGCGAAAGGAAGAGUCACACAUCUCUCACUUUAAAUCAAAAACUAGAAAUGAUUCAGCUUAGCGAGCAAGGCAUUCAAAAGCCAAAAGAGGCUGAAAGCUAGGCCUCUUGCACCAGCCAGCCAAGUUGUGAAGGCAAAGGCAAAGUUCUUGAGGAAAAUUAAAAGUGCUACUCCAGUGAACACACAAAUGUGUGAACACCAGCCACGACAUUCCCAUAAACCAAAGCCUAAUCCAGAGCAAGGCCCUAACUCUUCAGUUCAAGGUAGGCUGCCAGAGGUGAGGAAGCUGCAGAAGAGAAGCUGGAAACUAGCAGAGGUUGAUUCAUGCAGUUUAAGAAGCCAUCUCUCGAACGGAAAAGUACCAGGUAAAGCCGAGAGUGCUGAUGGUAGGAGCUGUGGCAAGUUCUCCAGAAGAUCUAACUAAAACAAUUCAUUGUAGGUGGCUACACUAAACAACAGAUUUUCAAUGUAGAUGAAACACCUUCCAUUGGGAAAGUUGUCAUCUAGGACUUUCAUAGCUAGAGAGAAGCCAGUGCCUGGCUUAAAGCCUCAUAGUACACGCCGACUCUGCUUAGGGGCAAACGGAGCUGAUGACUUUAAGUGGAGACCAGUGUCCAUUGACCAUUCUGAAAACCCAAGGACCCUUAAGAAUUAUGCUAAUUCUGUUCUGCCUGUGCUCUGUGAAUGAAAGAACAGAGCCUGGAUGACAGCACAUCUGCUUACAGCUUGGCUUAUUGAAUGUUUUAGGCCUACUGUUAAGACCUAGUGCUCAGAAAAAAAAAGAUUCUUUUCUAAAAUAUAUGGUCUAAUUGACAAUGCACUGGUCAUCUGAGAGCUCCGGUAGAGAAAUAUACAAUGAGAUUAAUGUUUUCAUGACUGCUAACAGAUCAAUUUUGCAGCCCAUGAAUCAAGAAGUAACUUUGCCUUUCAAGUCUUUUUGAGAAAAACAUUUUAUAAGGCUGUAGCUGCCGUAGUUAGUGAUUCCUCUGAUGGAUCUGGGCAAAGUCAAUAAAAAUCUGGAAAGAAUUUAUCCUUCUAUAGCCUUUCAUGAUUCAUGGAAAGAGGUCAAAUUAUCAACAUGAACAGGAGUUUGGAAAAAGUUGAUCCAACCCUUGUGGAUGACUUUGAGGGAUUUAAGACUUGAGUAGAGGAAAUUACUGCAGAUGUGGCAGAAAGAGCAAGUGAACUCGAAUUACAAGCGGAGGCUGAGGAUGUGACUGAAUUGCUGCGAUCUCAUUCAGCCAAAGGGAUGAGGAGCUGCUCUUUACAGAUGAGCAAAGAACAUGGUUUCUUAAAAUGGGGUCUACUCCUGGGGGAGAUGGUGAAGAUUGCUGAAAUGACAGCAGAGCACUUAGAAUGUUACCUAAUUACUUGAUAAAGCAGCAACAAAGUUUAGGAAGAUUGACUCCAGUUUUUAAAUGGGUAAAAUGCUAUCAAACGGCACUUCAUGACAGAGAAAUCAUUCUUGAAAGGAAAAGUCAACCGAUGCAGCAAACUUCAUUGCUGUCUUAUUUUAAGAAACUGCCACAGCCACCCCAGCCUUCAGCAACUGCCACCCUGAUCAGUCAGCAGCCAUCAACGAAAGACCCCCUCCUCCACCAGCAAAAAGAUUAUGACUUACAGAAGCUCAGAUUAUAUUGAGCAAUAAAGUAUUUUUCAAUUAAGGCAUAACUCGGUCUUAACUGGACCGUGAGGGCAGCUGCACUCAGCCCAGAAGACUUGUACUGAGAGGUGGUACGGAAAGCUGUUUUUGGGCUUCGGAUCUCACUGGGUAAAGCCUCACCUCUCCUCCAUGAUGCCUCCUUCAUUCUGCCUUUUCUCCAAAACACAUCUUAGGGCACCCUUCCUCCUUCCUGCAACCCAGAACUGCUUACAAACAGCAUCACUGCAAAGAUUUACACAGAAUUCCUACAUCCGUCAGGCUGUUCUUGGAUUAAUCUUCUGAUGUCUAACAAGGUAAGAACUCAUAGUGGACAGUUUGCUACAUUUCUCAUACAAGCUCUCUCCAGUGUGAAUUGAUACAGAAUAAGGGAUACACCUUAACGGAAGGAUUUCCCACCAUUUUUAUAUUCCUAUUCCUUUCCUCUUGUGUAUACUCAGUAAGAAAUUCUUAUUCCCUAAUGUCUUCCCCAUGUUACAUAUAUACGGUUUUUUCCAGUGUGGACUUCCGUCCAUUAAGGGAUUAAUACUGGCUAAGGGCUUUCUCACAUUUAUUGCCUAUGAAUUAUUGCCUUCAUAGUCAAUAAACGGUCUCUCCACAGUGUGAAGUGUGAUGGACAGUAGGCUUGUACCCCUGCUAAAGGCCUUCCCAUAUUCACUACAUUCAUGAGACUUUUUUUCCCAGUAAAAAUUUUCAGGAAAGAUCUAUGGCUAAAGCAUAUUAUGACAAAUAUUCUGUUCAUAUAGUUUCUCUCUCAUGUGAUUUCUCACAUGUAUAAUCAUUCAUAUGGCCUAAAGGCUUUUCUACACUUAUUGCACUACUGGGUUUCUCUCCAUUAUGUAUUCUCUGAUGGGCAGUAAGAUUUGAGCCUUUGCUAAAAGCCUUCCCACACUCGUUACAUUUAUAUGGCUUUUCUCCAGUAUGAAUUCUCUGAUGUACAGUAAGGUUUGAACUACAGCUGAAGGUCUUCCCACAUUUAAUACAUUCAUAGGGCUUCUCUCCAGUAUGAAUUCUGUGAUGCUGAAGCAGGGACGACCUAUGACUGAAGGCUUUCCCACAUAUAUUGCAUUCAUAAGGUUUCAAUCUGGUGUGAUUUCUUAAAUGCAUAUUCAGUGAUUCUGGCUGGUUGAAGGAUUUCCUGCAUUUCUGACAUUGAAAAGGCUUUUCUUCAUUAUGAAUACUCUGAUGCUGAAUAAGAAAUGACAGGCUGCUGAAGACUUUCAGACAUUUGCUGCAUUCGAAUUGUUUCUCUAUAGUGUGGAUUCUUUGAUGUCGAGUAAGGUGGGAGCUACAGCAAAAGGCUUUUCCACAUUCACUGCAUUCAUAAGGUUUCUCUCCAGUGUGAGUUUUCUGAUGGUGAAUGAGAGAUGACCUAUGAAUGAAGGCUUUCUCACAUAUUCGACACUCAUAGAGUUUUUCUUGAGUAUGAAUUCUCAGAUGUUCAAUAAGAUGUGAAACACGACUAAACGACUUUCCACAGUUCAUACAUUCAUAUGGCUUCUCUCCAGUGUGAGUACGCUGAUGAUUAGUGAGUGAAGACACAUGGCUAAAGGCCUUCCCACAUUCAAUACAUUUGUAAGGUUUCUCUCCACUGUGACUUAUCUGAUGUCGAGUUAGGGAUGAGCCAUGGCUAAAAGUCUUCCCACAUUCAUGACAUUCAUAUGGUUUCUCUCCUGUAUGAAUUCUCCAAUGGCGAUUAAGGAUUGAUUGUUUGCCAAAGGCUUUCCCACAUUCAUUGCAUGUAUAGAUUUUCUCUCUAUUAGAAGUCUGAUUAAGGGUAAGAGAUUUGCUCUGGCUGAAGGCUGACACACUUCCUUUAGAAUCCAAAAGUUUCUUCCCACCAUUGAUCGCCUUAUUUUUUAUAACAGAUUCUUUUGGUAAGCUCUUCUUACAUAUAUCACGUUUACGUGAUUUCCCUUCAGCAGAAAUUCUCUGUGGUUCAGAAAGAAUAGACUUUAAAGAGAAGAUGCUGCUAAAUGUAUUGUAUUUGUAAACAUUUUCCCCAGUAGGACCUUCUCUAAAGGUGAGGGUCACUGGUCUGAAAUGUUCUACCUGGUUUUCAUGCUUCUCUUCCAUCUUCUCUAUAUAUUCCCAGUCCUUGUUAAAAUUGGAAAAUUCAUGACUGUGUUUUAUCAUUUUUUCUAUUAUUACCGUUUGGGGUGAAUCUUCAUCAUAAAUAUCCUCCUUUGUUACUAAUUCCUUGUUUUCCCAUCUUGAUUCCCAAUCUGAAAUAUAUCAAGAAAGCAAAACACUGCUUUUUCUGUACUUCUUGAAAAGAAACUACUAUGGUAGGAAUAAGAGAUAAGAAACAGAGCACAUCUCUACCUCCAGAAAGCACAGGACUGAAUUCUCAUUCAGUGAUUUCUGAACGAAGUUCAAAUGGAGCAAAGACUAGAGCUAGCUUGCAGAGGUGGAAAUGGAGUGUAAUAAGGGAAAUCAGUUAAAAACAGGCAAUCAGUAUGUGGACUAAAAGUGAAAUUGUCAGGAAAAAAUGCACAAAGUCUUCUGGAUUCCAAGCCAACACUCUAUUUUGUACCUACAUUUUUGUGAAAGACCACAUUUUGUCUCACAGCCUUGGUUCUCCAACUUUCAAUUAAUCUCAACUUGCUGUCAGAUUAGUAUGCUUAAAAUGCACAAUUUAUAGUAGUACAUUAAAAAGUUAAUAAGUGGGGCGCCUGGGUGCCUCAGUGGG